UACAGAGGUCUCAAGCGUUGUUCGGAUUCAUUGGGCGUAAAGGGUGCGUAGGCGGCGCGGUAAGUCGGGUGUUAAAUCUUGGAGCUUAACUCCGAAACUGCAUUCGAUACUGCCGUGCUUGAGGACUGGAGAGGAGACUGGAAUUUACGGUGUAGCGGUGAAAUGCGUAGAUAUCGUAAGGAAGACCAGUGGCGAAGGCGGGUCUCUGGACAGUUCCUGACGCUGAGGCACGAAGGCCAGGGGAGCAAACGGG
RNAcentral lists this ribosomal RNA (253 nucleotides) under uncultured bacterium. Its description in RNAcentral is "partial 16S ribosomal RNA". It matches the Rfam family "Bacterial small subunit ribosomal RNA", at positions 524 to 776 of the family's 1533-position model. The record is from RNAcentral.